RNAcentral lists this ribosomal RNA (449 nucleotides) under uncultured bacterium. RNAcentral's name for it is "bacterial SSU rRNA". It matches the Rfam family "Bacterial small subunit ribosomal RNA", at positions 330 to 797 of the family's 1533-position model. The record is from RNAcentral.
GGCCGACUCCUACGGGAGGCAGCAGUGGGGAAUAUUGCACAAUGGGGGGAACCCUGAUGCAGCGACGCCGCGUGAGUGAAGAAGUAUUUCGGUAUGUAAAGCCCUGUCAGCAGGGAAGAAGAAAGACGGUACCUGACUAAGAAGCCCCGGCUAACUACGUGCCAGCAGCCGCGGUAAUACGUAGGGGGCAAGCGUUAUCCGGAUUUACUGGGUGUAAAGGGAGCGUAGACGGCAGUGCAAGUCUGGAGUGAAAGGCGGGGGCUCAACCCCCGGACUGCUCUGGAAACUGUACGGCUGGAGUGCAGGAGAGGUAAGUGGAAUUCCUAGUGUAGCGGUGAAAUGCGUAGAUAUUAGGAGGAACACCAGUGGCGAAGGCGGCUUACUGGACUGUAACUGACGUUGAGGCUCGAAAGCGUGGGGAGCAAACAGGAUUAGAUACCCGAGUACCA